Brassica oleracea var. oleracea is the source of this 885-nucleotide long non-coding RNA. RefSeq lists it as uncharacterized. NCBI's taxonomy places the organism in Eukaryota, Viridiplantae, Streptophyta, Magnoliopsida, Brassicales, Brassicaceae. The record is from RefSeq and is a predicted model, not a curated record. The transcript has 4 exons.
AUCAUCGAGAAGAAAAAAAACACCUAGGAAAAACAAAGGGUUGAAAGUCGACCACCGUUGUGCGACUUUCAACACCACCACUGGAAACUUCUCUCUCUCUCUCUCUCUUCUCUCUGUUUCGUACCCCUCUUUCCUCAAAAGUCGAUUUAGAUCUGUGUUUUUGGUGGACGAUGUUUGUACCAAACCCUAAUUUUCGUUUGGUGUGUUGACCGUGAGUUUACAGAGAACCCUGUCCCGUGUUCUCCGAUUAGCUCUCCAGCAGCCAUCUACGGCGGAGGUUUGUUCCACCGUGAAGUGUCAGCUAUAGUGGUUGACUUGGGUUCACACACUUGCAAGGCUAGCAACGUCGGCGAAGAUGCUCCCAAGGCCGUUUUCCCUUCCGUUGUUGGGGCAGUAGCGAUGGAUGUGGAUGUUGAUUCUUCGAAGACAAAUUCCAAUUCCGAGGAUCCGAAGUCUGAAGUAUGAAAAGGGGAAGGGUGAACGCAAGCUCUACGUGGGAUCUCAAGCCUUGAAUUACUGCAGGGAUCAAAGACGGAGUUGUCUGAUUAUUGAUCCUAAGGAGCAUCCAAUGCUGCUAGCUGAGCCUCCUUUAAACACUCAACAAGCUGUAGACUACUCUGCUUUCAGGUUCUUAUGAUUUUACUCAUGUCUGUGUAUGUGUUAAUAAAUUUAUUUUCUGAUGUACAAAUCAGGUUCUUAUGAUUUUACUCAUGUCUGUGUAUGAUUUUGCUCAUGUCUGUGUAUGUGCUUAUUUAUGAUUUUACUCAUGUCUGUGUAUCUUUGUAUGGUUACUGAGAAAGAAUCUGCAGGUUUCAAGAUCCUCGGGUUGCAAGACAGACUCUCUAACAGAGUGGGAUAUUCCUUCUGGUGACACCUCUUGUGUGU